UAUAUUUUUUUCCCAAAAAAAAGAAUUUUCUUUUAUUAUAUUUUCCAUUUUAUCUACCAAAACCAAAGCGAGAAGUUUUCACACAGUCACUUUAUUCAUUGUUUGGCCAUAAAAAGAAUCUUUCUUUUUCAUUCAUCAACUAGGUUAAGUUGAUAAGCUCUUUCUCUUUCUCUUUCUUUCCUUUAAUGCCAUUGGUGGCCUUGAAUUUACAGUGACAACAGCACCAAAAAGGACAGCACCAGAGAAAAGCAAAGCAAUGGCUGAAACUAGACAUCUGUACUGGUCAAUCCUCGUGCCUUCUGCUUCUUGUAAAUGAGCUUGGAUUUGUAGCCUAGAUUGCCACUGGUCCUAACCAGUAUGGCUCUGGGCUCGCUUUCUUCCUUGUUCCUGUUGGAUCUCACAUUCCACUAAAUUCUGGAGUGAGUUUUUAUGGGCCUGAACAACUCCAACAUUUAUUCCUUCCUUAUUUUCUGGAUAAGGAAGAAGUAGGGUGAACAGACAACAGAGAAAAUGAACUUAACAUCAAUGAACGAUGAGAUUGAAAGAGUAGCAGGUCCAAGAAGAUAAUUCUUACCAGGAUCUUGUUUCAUCUACCAAAAACUUCUCGAGUUAAAGGAAGUUGGGUCAGGGAGGAUUUGGAUCUGUUUACAAGGGCUACCAUACCCCUUCGGGAAUUGCAUGAAGAAAAUAUCAAAGCGUUCAAAUAAAGAGGAGUAUAUGACAGAGGUGAACCCUAAACCCUACAUUUGAGAAAGAUGGGUGGCUAAAUUUGGACAAGGAGAAGUAAGCUAAAUUUGGAGUGGACUGAGAAGAGGGAGAGAAGGCUAGUUGGUUUAGUUGGAAUAGGAAAAGACAUUGAAGGCAGUAUGGAAUAAGAAUGCAAUUUUGUUGCUUUCAAGGCUAAUAAGCGUUUAACCCAAGAGAAUUUCAUGUCUUCUUUUCUUAUGGAUGCUUGCUACACUUACAUCUAUGACACAUGGAAAGGAAGGAAUAGCAAAUUGCAUCAAGAGAGGUGUCUAACUAAAAACUAAUCAAAAUCGAGUUAACUAAUUUUAUCUAGUCUGACUUUGUUGAAUAACUACAGGUAUAACACUUGAUCUGAAGUAGAGCUAAGUUCUUGUUUCCUUUUACUUAAUGACAAUAUAACACGUGUAAAUGUUGAUUUAUUGUUUAAUUUUCAUUAUUAUUUAAAAUUUUUCUAUGUCAUGUUCUCUU
This is a long non-coding RNA of Hevea brasiliensis (rubber tree), 1215 nucleotides long. RefSeq lists it as uncharacterized. Lineage: Eukaryota; Viridiplantae; Streptophyta; Magnoliopsida; Malpighiales; Euphorbiaceae. The transcript is spliced from 2 exons. The record is from RefSeq and is a predicted model, not a curated record.